GCCUUUGAAUACAGAGAACUCCCAGAGAAGAUUGGGCUUUCGGGAAUUAAAAUACAGGUGCUGCAUGGCUGUCGUCAGCUCGUGUUGUGAGAUGUUGGGUUAAGUCCCGCAACGAGCGCAACCCUUUUCCUUAUUUGCCAGCAUUUCGGAUGGGAACUUAAGGAUACUGCCAGUGACAAACUGGAGGAAGGCGGGGACGACGUCAAGUCAUCAUGGCCCUUACGGCCAGGGCUACACACGUGCUACAAUGGUCGGUACAAAGGGUUGCUACUCCGCGAGCGGAUGCUAAUCUCAAAAAGCCGAUCGUAGUCCGGAUCGCAGUCUGCAACUCGACUGCGUGAAGUCGGAAUCGCUAGUAAUCGCGGAUCAGAAUGCCGCGGUGAAUACGUUCCCGGGCCUUGUACACACCGCCCGUCACACCAUGGGAGUGGGUUGCACCAGAAGUAGGUAGUCUAACCGCUAAAGAGGGCGGUUACCACGGCUGUGG
This 487-nucleotide ribosomal RNA is filed under the name Acinetobacter calcoaceticus. RNAcentral describes it as "bacterial SSU rRNA". It matches the Rfam family "Bacterial small subunit ribosomal RNA", at positions 978 to 1467 of the family's 1533-position model. Lineage: Bacteria; Pseudomonadati; Pseudomonadota; Gammaproteobacteria; Moraxellales; Moraxellaceae. The record is from RNAcentral.